This 1470-nucleotide long non-coding RNA is filed under the name Cricetulus griseus (Chinese hamster). RNAcentral describes it as "lncRNA (ENSCGRG00000025018.1)". The record is from RNAcentral. Lineage: Eukaryota; Metazoa; Chordata; Mammalia; Rodentia; Cricetidae.
AUGUCUCCUGAGAAGGAAGUGGAGUCUAAGCCGGGAGAGCCCGGCGGGCAGACGGAUCAGAAGCAGCAGCCGGGAGAGCCCGGCGGGCAGACGGGUCAGAAGCAGCAGCCGGGAGAGUCAGGCGGGCAGACGGGUCAGAAGCAGCAGCCGGGAGAGCCAGGCGGGCAGACCGGUCAGAAGCAGCAGCCGGGAGAGCCCGGCGGGCAGACGGGUCAGAAGCAGCAGCCGGGAGAGCCAGGCGGGCAGACCGGUCAGAAGCAGCAGCCGGGAGAGCCCGGCGGGCAGACGGGUCAGAAGCAGCAGCCGGGAGAGUCAGGCGGGCAGACGGGUCAGAAGCAGCAGCUCGGAGAGCCAGGUGGACAGACGGGUCAGAGGCAGCAGCCGGGAGAGCCAGGUGGACAGACGGAUCAGAAGCAGCAGCCGGGAGAGCCAGGCGGGCAGACGGGUCAGAGACAGCAGCCCGGAGAGCCAGGCGGGCAGACGGGUCAGAGGCAGCAGCCCGGAGAGCCAGGCGGGCAGACGGGUCAGAGGCAGCAGCCCGGAGAGCCAGGCGGGCAGACGGAUCAGAGACAGCAGCCCGCUAACCCAAACCCGGAUGAGACGGUGGCGUCGACCAUGGCAGCAGUUUCCAGUUCGGUGGGAUCUGGACAGCGGCAGGUCAUUGCAGCCAAAUCCCCAAAUCAGCCCCAGACAGCAGAUACCCAGUCAACCGGGACUGCACAGCAGCCUCCGCCACCCGAUCCCAAACCCGAUGAAUCUAGGCAGAAGCCCCCAAAAGAUGAUUCAGAUAAGCUCACAAAAGUUCCUGCGGACGACCGCAUCUCCAAACCCUCCUCAGAUAAGGAGACCGACAAGAUUGACAAGACGGAGCUAGCUGGAAAAGGACAGAAACCAAUGCUUACUUCCAAAACUGAAUCUGGGGAGAGACCGGCAGGGGACUCUGACUUUUCUUUAAAGCCAGGGAAGUCUUCAGAGCUUACCGAAGCUGUGGAAACCAAGGAGACUGAAGAGGGUGAUACAGAGCCAGAAGAGGGCUCACCGCUUGAAGAAGAUAAUGAAAAGGUGUUUGACCCUUCCUCCAGUGAGAACCGAGAGGAGACACUUAGGGAGUCUGUGAAUGAUGAGAAGGAUGACUCUUAUAAGGACAGUUCUGGAAACACCAGUGCAGAGAGCAGCCACUUCUUUGCUUAUCUGGUGACUGCAGCUGUUCUUGUUGCUGUCCUCUAUAUUGCUUACCACAACAAACGGAAGAUUAUUGCUUUUGCCCUAGAAGGAAAAAGAUCCAAAGUCACUCGGAGGCCAAAGGCCAGUGACUACCAGCGUUUGAACCUAAAGCUUUGAUUAUUUUUUAUUGUCUGCAAGAACCUUGUCCUCCCUGCUGAUUUGUUUACGAAUCAAGAGAAAUGAAAAGACUGACCCCCUCUGGGGUUUGGUGGCAAGUCUGGGCUGGCCGAGACGGGGUUGCUUCAG